CAAGUCGAACGCGAAAGCCCGCAAGGGUGAGUAGAGUGGCAAACGGGUGAGUAACACGUGGGUGACCUGCCUCAGAGUGGGGGAUAACGACCCGAAAGGGUCGCUAAUACCGCAUGACAUCCUGCUUUUGGACAAGUGGAGAUCAAAGCCGGGGAUCGCAAGACCUGGCGCUCAGAGAGGGGCCCGCGGCCGAUUAGCUAGUUGGUGAGGUAAUGGCUCACCAAGGCAACGAUCGGUAUCCGGCCUGAGAGGGCGGACGGACACACUGGGACUGAGACACGGCCCAGACUCCUACGGGAGGCAGCAGUGGGGAAUUGUUCGCAAUGAGCGCAAGCCUGACGACGCAACGCCGCGUGGAGGAUGAAGAUCUUCGGGUCGUAAACUCCUUUCGAUCGGGAAGAACGUUGUCCGGGUGAACACUCCGGACAAGUGACGGUACCGAGAGAAGAAGCCCCGGCUAACUCCGUGCCAGCAGCCGCGGUAAUACGGGGGGGGCAAGCGUUGUUCGGAAUUACUGGGCGUAAAGGGCGUGUAGGUGGCCAACUAAGUCCAACGUGAAAUCCCCAGGCUUAACCUGGGAACUGCGUCGGAUACUGGGUGGCUUGAAUCCGGGAGAGGGAUGCGGAAUUCCAGGUGUAGCGGUGAAAUGCGUAGAUAUCUGGAGGAACACCGGUGGCGAAGGCGGCAUCCUGGACCGGUAUUGACACUGAAGCGCGAAAGCCAGGGGAGCAAACGGGAUUAGAUACCCCGGUAGUCCUGGCCCUAAACGAUGAAUGUUUGGUGUGGCGGGUAUCGAUCCCUGCCGUGCCGAAGCUAACGCAUUUAAACAUUCCGCCUGGGGAGUAC
This 846-nucleotide ribosomal RNA is filed under the name uncultured Pseudomonadota bacterium. RNAcentral describes it as "bacterial SSU rRNA". It matches the Rfam family "Bacterial small subunit ribosomal RNA", at positions 58 to 883 of the family's 1533-position model. The record is from RNAcentral. Lineage: Bacteria; Pseudomonadati; Pseudomonadota.